UAUAUAUCUUUCUUGUCUCGUCCUAAUGUUCUUACUCUGAAAUGGUGUGAUGACAUGCAUAUAUAUCAUCUGCAUAGUGUCAUGCUUGGUGUUGGAGAUAGGAGCUUUUAAUUUAAAAUGGUGAUGAAGGCACAAUUCAGGCUCAUGUUUGUGAGCACUAUCCUAUUGUCUUGUGCGAGAUGUGGCAUAUAUAUUUUCAUCAGAAAAUGUUUGCUUGGCUGAGCAGAGCUUUUAGGUGUCGGUUUAUUGGAGAUGCAUGUCUGGUCGACGACAUACCUAAACAAACACAUUGCUGUGUUGUGGCCUGGUAGGUAAUUAGGCCAGCCUAACAACUUCAACUACGAGCGCUGGUGGCGCCACGUCGGCAAAAGCGUACUGGCU
Molecule: long non-coding RNA, 381 nt
Filed under: Sorghum bicolor (sorghum)
Lineage: Eukaryota; Viridiplantae; Streptophyta; Magnoliopsida; Poales; Poaceae
Description: long non-coding RNA (SBIC_LNC017026)
Source: RNAcentral